RNAcentral lists this ribosomal RNA (468 nucleotides) under uncultured bacterium. Its description in RNAcentral is "partial 16S ribosomal RNA". It matches the Rfam family "Bacterial small subunit ribosomal RNA", at positions 28 to 507 of the family's 1533-position model. The record is from RNAcentral.
GACGAACGCUGGCGGCGUGCUUAACACAUGCAAGUCGAACGGAAAGGCCCUGCUUUUGUGGGGUGCUCGAGUGGCGAACGGGUGAGUAACACGUGAGUAACCUGCCCUUGACUUUGGGAUAACUUCAGGAAACUGGGGCUAAUACCGGAUAGGAGCUCCUGCUGCAUGGUGGGGGUUGGAAAGUUUCGGCGGUUGGGGAUGGACUCGCGGCCUAUCAGCUUGUUGGUGGGGUAGUGGCUUACCAAGACUUUGACGGGUAGCCGGCCUGAGAGGGUGACCGGCCACAUUGGGACUGAGAUACGGCCCAGACUCCUACGGGAGGCAGCAGUGGGGAAUAUUGCACAAUGGGCGGAAGCCUGAUGCAGCAACGCCGCGUGCGGGAUGACGGCCUUCGGGUUGUAAACCGCUUUCGCCUGUGACGAAGCGUGAGUGACGGUAAUGGGUAAAGAAGCACCGGCUAACUACGUG